Molecule: transfer RNA, 77 nt
Filed under: candidate division WS6 bacterium RIFOXYC1_FULL_33_9
Lineage: Bacteria
Also listed under: 5 other names
Description: tRNA-Gly
Rfam family: tRNA
About the family: Transfer RNA (tRNA) molecules are approximately 80 nucleotides in length. Their secondary structure includes four short double-helical elements and three loops (D, anti-codon, and T loops).
Source: RNAcentral
GCGAGAGUAGUUCAGUUGGCUAGAACGACACAUUGCCAAUGUGUAGGUCGCGGGUUCGAACCCCGUCUCUCGCUCCA